Molecule: ribosomal RNA, 301 nt
Filed under: uncultured bacterium
Lineage: Bacteria
Description: partial 16S ribosomal RNA
Rfam family: Bacterial small subunit ribosomal RNA
Source: RNAcentral
CAGUCGCCACGGGAAUACGAAGGGGGCUAGCGUUGUUCGGAAUUACUGGGCGUAAAGCGCACGUAGGCGGAUACUUAAGUCAGGGGUGAAAUCCCGGGGCUCAACCUGGGAACUGCUUCUGAGACUGAACGACUAGAGUACGGUAGAGGGUGGUGGAAUUUCCGGUGUAGCGGUGAAAUGCGUAGAUAUCGGAAGGAACAUCAAUGGCGAAGGCAGCCACCUGGGCCUGUACUGACACUGAGACACGAAAGCGUGGGGAUCAAACAGGAUUAGAUACCCCAGUAGUCCCUGUCUCUUAUAC